CUGUCAGUAUCGGUCUUUCAUACGAGUUGUGUUCAGCCUAAUUUUUUUCCUAAAAAAAGUUGGAUACCAACAGUUUAUUUGACACUGCAGCAUAAAUAUGUUGCUGGCAAAACAGCAGUCAAAGCAGGCAGUGACCUUGGCUACCACUAGCUAGCUAUCAGAGGGCUCCAAAAGAGAGGGUUGCGAAAAUGUUAACGACAUGGAAAUUGUGUGUGAUUGCCUAUAGCAGGAUGAAGAUCCUCCUUUGCCUGGGAAGAAACCAUUUCCUUUCACCAAGGUACCUUCUCUAAGGAUAUUCUCGGCUAUUAACCUUCAUGCAUGAAGCAGGAGCU
This 332-nucleotide long non-coding RNA is filed under the name Taeniopygia guttata (zebra finch). Its description in RNAcentral is "lncRNA (ENSTGUG00000023066.1)". The record is from RNAcentral. Lineage: Eukaryota; Metazoa; Chordata; Aves; Passeriformes; Estrildidae.